This 913-nucleotide ribosomal RNA is filed under the name Escherichia coli. RNAcentral describes it as "partial 23S ribosomal RNA". It matches the Rfam family "Bacterial large subunit ribosomal RNA", at positions 243 to 1194 of the family's 2925-position model. Lineage: Bacteria; Pseudomonadati; Pseudomonadota; Gammaproteobacteria; Enterobacterales; Enterobacteriaceae. The record is from RNAcentral.
GUAGCGGCGAGCGAACGGGGAGCAGCCCAGAGCCUGAAUCAGUGUGUGUGUUAGUGGAAGCGUCUGGAAAGGCGCGCGAUACAGGGUGACAGCCCCGUACACAAAAAUGCACAUGCUGUGAGCUCGAUGAGUAGGGCGGGACACGUGGUAUCCUGUCUGAAUAUGGGGGGACCAUCCUCCAAGGCUAAAUACUCCUGACUGACCGAUAGUGAACCAGUACCGUGAGGGAAAGGCGAAAAGAACCCCGGCGAGGGGAGUGAAAAAGAACCUGAAACCGUGUACGUACAAGCAGUGGGAGCACAGAGCAAUCUGUGUGACUGCGUACCUUUUGUAUAAUGGGUCAGCGACUUAUAUUCUGUAGCAAGGUUAACCGAAUAGGGGAGCCGAAGGGAAACCGAGUCUUAACUGGGCGUUAAGUUGCAGGGUAUAGACCCGAAACCCGGUGAUCUAGCCAUGGGCAGGUUGAAGGUUGGGUAACACUAACUGGAGGACCGAACCGACUAAUGUUGAAAAAUUAGCGGAUGACUUGUGGCUGGGGGUGAAAGGCCAAUCAAACCGGGAGAUAGCUGGUUCUCCCCGAAAGCUAUUUAGGUAGCGCCUCGUGAAUUCAUCUCCGGGGGUAGAGCACUGUUUCGGCAAGGGGGUCAUCCCGACUUACCAACCCGAUGCAAACUGCGAAUACCGGAGAAUGUUAUCACGGGAGACACACGGCGGGUGCUAACGUCCGUCGUGAAGAGGGAAACAACCCAGACCGCCAGCUAAGGUCCCAAAGUCAUGGUUAAGUGGGAAACGAUGUGGGAAGGCCCAGACAGCCAGGAUGUUGGCUUAGAAGCAGCCAUCAUUUAAAGAAAGCGUAAUAGCUCACUGGUCGAGUCGGCCUGCGCGGAAGAUGUAACGGGGCUAAACCAUGCAC